Molecule: long non-coding RNA, 2911 nt
Filed under: Homo sapiens (human)
Lineage: Eukaryota; Metazoa; Chordata; Mammalia; Primates; Hominidae
Description: non-protein coding lnc-F13A1-3:2
Source: RNAcentral
AUCAGGAUUUCUGGAGCUGCUUAGCUGAGAGGUUUUGGUUAAGGGUCUCCCAGGAGGUUGCCAUGAAGGUGCAGGCUGGGGUCACAGGCACUGGAAGGCAUGGCUGGAGCAAGCAGACCAUUUCCAAGUGGCUCACUCUCAUAGCUGCCAAGUUGGUGAUUGCUGUUUGUAGAUACAUCCAGUUCCUUCCACAUCAACCCUGCCAUAGGCUGCUUGAGUAGUCUCAUGACAUGGCAGCUGGCUCACCCCAGAAUAAGGAAAUGACUUACUGCAAAGAACCACUCUUCCCCACGAGACUUCGAGAAGACCCGCUGUCACGGACUGAGUUGUGUCCUCUUAAAAUUCAGAUGUUGGAGUCCAAACCCCCAGUAACUCAGAGUGUGAACGUAUUUGAAGAGGUCUUUAAAGAGGUGAUGAAGGGAGAGAGACCCCAUGAGCUCGUCAAGCUCCUUCUGUGACUGAUCAGAGAUCCCACCGUGAGUCCAGCUCCUGGUCCCAUGCUCUGGAUAUAUCGGUCCCUGGCAGCGUGCAGUCUUCUUUCCACCAAUGACCCCUCGCGCUGCUUCCAGAAGCCAAGAAAGUGGGCUUUGUCCUUGGGGAUUUAGGAGGCGGAGCGGCGCCCCCUUGAGGCCACAUGGUGGAGGCAGCGAUGAGACCUGGAGUCUAAAAUUCAGACUGAAUCACAGGAAGAAGCUAUUUACACAAGUCAAACAUGGUCCAAUCUUGGCAAUUUCAUAAGGUUCCAAUCCUUAAGGGAUCAAAACCUGGCCAACUGCUUCCACCGAGAGGUGUGCCUUUCAAUGCCAGGCUUGGAGUGUCCCUCUUUAUUUAAAAAGGAGAGGAUUCCACAGCAGAGCUUCUCAAACUCUUCCACCCAAAUCCCCUCACCACAGAGGGACAGGAGUCCUGGGCAUGUAGCCUAAAGCAGCCAGGAGAAAAAAACCUUGACCUUAAUUUUUUUAAUGAUUUCACAUGAAUCAGUGGAAUGUGUUUAUGAUAAAAUCAUCUCCUCCUGAAAUACAUGUGUAAAACUGCUGCCCCAGUUAAACGCACUUAGUCUAACCAAGCCCUAGGAUUGGCCUCUCCAGCAUGAGAAGCAUUUCCAGCACUCCAGCUCCCCAGCUCCCACUCUGGGAUCCCACCUCAGACCCUCCCACUUCCUUGCACUCUGGCCUCUCGCUCUUGACCCUGCUCCCGCCACGCUCUUUCCUCAGAGUCCAUCAGUCCUGUCUUGUCUUCACCUUGGUCUCUGCCAAGUGUGGGUCCAAGUCAUAUAUUUGGGCUGUGAUCACAGGAACCCCAAGCCCCAGACCUCCCAAAGCACCCUAUGGAGAGACCUUACCCUCCUGGACAGACCCUCUCCCCCCAGCUAGACCUCAUCCUCUGGGUAGACCCAUCUCCCCAACCAGAACUCACCCUCCUGAGUAAACCCCAUCCCCCUAGCUAGACUUCAUCCUCCUGGACAGAUCCCAUCCCCCCAGCUAGACCUCACCCUCUUGGGUAGAUGCAUCUCCCCAACCAGAACUCUCCUGGGUAGACCCCUUCUACCCAGCUAGACCUGAUCCUCUGGACAGACCCCAUCAUCCCAGCUAGACUUCUCCCUCCUGGACUGUCCCCAUCCCCCCUCCAGCCAGACCUCACCCCUCUGGGUAGACCCCAUCCCCCCAACUAGACCUCACCCUCCUGGAUGGACUCUACCCUCCUGGAGAUACCUUCCCCUCCUGGGUACAUCCCACGUGGCUACACACUCCUUCCCCUGUCAGCUUUCUCCCCCAGGGUUCUGGGCAGCAGAGUCUGUGAUAAAGGAUACUAAGUGAUUCCCCAAUACUUCCCGUUUCCAGCCUCCAGUGGGCUCUCCCUGGGGCUAACGGUUCUUUUUGCUAUUUCUCCAGGCUUUGCCUGAUGACAAGUAUACUCUGAGAGUGUCCUAAUGAUACAGAUUUUGGACCCUAUCCCAGUUCUACUGAAUCCAAGUCUCUGGGGGAGGAGUUGGGGCUCUGCAUCUGGACACCUUCCUGCAGGGUCCCUCCUGGGAGGCAAGCCCGGGGAGCACCGCUGAGGCUCGCCUCAGUGCCCAUCCUAGACCUUCAGCAGCUAGCAGAGGAUGUCCCCACCAUCCCUCAGCCCACACUCCCACUGUCGCCCCAGCCAGGCUUGGCACUGCCUCCUUUCUCAGAAGAUUAAGACCAUCUGCUGUUUCCCAAGUUUCCCACCCUCCACCCUAAAAAUUUCUCCGUUUCCCAGUCUUUCCUCGUCUCUCAGAAAAUAAACAUCUUCCCAGGCUGCCUCCCCAGUGGGUCUGCACUCCUUGCUGUCUUCCCAGCACCUGCCCUUCCAGCCCGCCCUCUGUGUGUCCAGUGUUUCCCUCACCAAAGGACUCGCUUUGUUUUUCAAAUUGGAGGUUUUGUCUUCUCCCUAAAAACCAAAACAUCUCCCUGAGAAGUAACUCCCUCAAGCUACUGAUACGGAAGGGGGGCGGGGAAGUGCUGGGAAGGGAAGGGUGUGGUCCCUGGCUAGGGCUCCACCCCCGGGCCUGUGCCCACAGACCUAGGUGAGGACAGGCAUUUCUGUUUUCGUGCUUAAAUGUUGGAUUUCCCAAGACUACCCUGGCCUACCACACCCUCAUUCUGUGCCUGUAAAAAAACCUGAGAGCUUAGCAGGCACGCACACAAGCCUCUGGACGUCAAGAGGAACACACCGGUGUAAGAGCAGACUGAUAGUGGCCCACGGCAGGCUGGCAGGCCAUCGACAGGCAGAACCACUCAGUGCAGCUGGAGGACAGCCUGGCCACGGAGCGGUCCGACUUCAGAGGGGAAAACCACCUCCCCACUCCGUCUCCCUUCUGGCUCCCCCAUCUGAGAGCUACUUCCACUCAAUAAAACCUUGCACUCAUUCUCCAAGCCCAUGUGUG